Molecule: long non-coding RNA, 6495 nt
Filed under: Mytilus galloprovincialis (Mediterranean mussel)
Lineage: Eukaryota; Metazoa; Mollusca; Bivalvia; Mytilida; Mytilidae
Source: RNAcentral
UUUUUUUAUCAUAUUGUUAGAAGCUGAUGUUUGGAGUUUCUACGAAGGCCUUUUUACCAAAUCACAAUCAUCAUAGUUCGUAAACUUGUGUUUGAUUCGUCUGAAAGUCUAUCCUUGCUUUAUCUUCACCAGGAGCGCUGAAAUCAACAAAUGUAAGUACCAAAGAUGUAUUAGAAAUAAACAAACCCACGUGAUGUCAACUAUCUUAGAUAAAUUUCAAAUUGUGUUAUUUAUAUCAAAUAUACAUGUUUUCACCUUUUCCUAUUUUUUGCAUUUCUCAAUUCAAUGGUAAUGGUUUCAGUUAUACAUACCGGUAGCCAGAGAGGGUUCAGGGGGUUCGGGGAUUCGGACGACCACCCCUCCCCCGGAAAGCAAAUAAGCACUGUUAAAGUCAACAUUCUGUUUGAAUUGUGACUGUUCGUGAGCCCAAAUAACACCCCUUUUAAAAUUCCUGGCUACGGGCCCGAGUUAUACAUCUUUUGAACCUAUGCGCUAUUGGUAGUAGUUAGCGGCAGUAAGUGAAAUUAGGCAUUAAGCUUAAAUCCUAGGCAAUAAGCUAACGCCUAGGCAUUAAGUUAUUGCUGAAUUUUCAGGCAUUAGCUUUUCCUGAAAUCUUAUGAUUAUUAUUUCUAUUUGCCGAACAUAAUUUUAGCCAUAAGUGAAAUCUGAAUUAUGCUAUUGGUGAUUUAUUCUUGAUAUAAGAGUUACUUAAUUUUUCUAAUAAUAAUGUGUAAUAUACAUUCAUUUGACACAUCUUCAAUUUAUAAGUUUAUUUAGUAAUUUAGCAGUUAAAAACAGAAUUACACAUACUUUUUCAUGUUUUGUGAUAUUACAAAUUUAAAGAUUUAAAAAAGUGAUUGUUAUAAUCCAAUUAACAUGUUAAAAAGGGGAGAUUCUAUUAAAUAAUUUGAUAUUUAUUGAAACAAAAUUCACUCCCAUAGUCGAGCUGAUUUACUGGUCAAAGUAGAUAAAAUUAAAAUGUGAUUUUUUGCUAACCAUUUUUCAAUUUUUUUUUAUAGAUAAGUAAGUUUUCUUAUUCACAGUUUCACAACUUUGAUAAAAAAAUCUUUGAACACAAUUUUUAUCAGUUUUCAUAUUUUAGAUUAUUUUUAAUAUUAACUAUCUUAUAGUGAUUUAUUUACCAGUCUCUUGGGAGUGUUGAACUUCCAUUUCAGCUCCCAAAGCAUGAUUUUACGAUUAUAUGUAAAUUUAACUAUUUGCAGUUAGUUGUUCAAUCUAAAUAUAAACGUGAGGAAUAUGUGCUAUUCGCCAGGGACACAUUUGCCGUUUUAUGAUUGAGGUUAAAAACUUCAAAGGAUGGUUUUAAAAUGAAGAAAUAUGCCAAAAAAUUAUAACAAUAUGAUUAUUUUUUAAAUGACAAAUUCGGCACUUACGCAAAGGACCGAAACGGACAACCGAGUUCAGCCAAUUUCUGAAUGCAAAAACGAUUUCAAAGAAUAUUUCUUUAGUUAUUUUUACUGAUUGCCCUAAAUUCGUUGUUUACACUUUCAAAUGUCUUCUAUUCAUCUACAAUGAAAUUAUUUCAUAAAUAUUUUUAAAACUGAAGUUUAUUACUUUAAUAGAUUGUAACAACGGCGAAUUGUGUCCCCUUGACAAAACAUCAGCAAAUUCAAACACCAACAUCAAAUGAUUUUUCUCAAAACAAACAUUUCUAUGCUAAGGUAUUUUGUAUUGAAAUUAUCUUCAUAUAGAAUAUCAGAUACUUCAAAACAUAAAGACCUGAACUUAAACUGAAGAAAACAUGGAGAUGGGCGAAAAUGGCACCCCUCUGUAGUUAUAUUUUUUACUUUGUUUUGUUUCAUAUAGUUUACAAGUACAAAUAUUAUAUUUAAACUAAUAUUAAUUUUCUAAUAAUUAGUCGUUUGAAUUAGUUGCUUAAAAUUUGAUACAAUAUUAUUUUUUUCUUGCUAUUUUUUACGUCAUACCGGUUAGGACAUCCUACUAAAAUAAUCUCAGAUAGGCUUCAUGGGCAUGCUGAGACUGUCGCAAGUCGGUCCUAAUUUUAUCAUAAUUUCUGUCCUAGGAAUAUCUUAUAGGAUCGAUCUUAGGACAGUUUCGAUAAACAGGCCCCAGUUCUCAUAAUGUUAUUACAAAUAUAUUGUUAAUUAAAUGAAUAAAUGUCUUGUAUUUACUCGCAUUUAUGUUUUAGGCAUUAAGCUUAAUGCCUACCCAUAUUUUUCAGGAUUUAAGCUUAAAUCCUAGGAUUUAAGACUAAUGCCUUAUAUCAUUUAGGCAAUAGACUUACUGCCUAGGCGUUAGCUUAUUGCCUAGGAUUUAAGCUUAAUGCCUAAUUAUUGCCGCUAACAUAUAUACACCUGGAAAAGGUAUUGCAACACCAAAUAAAAAUUAAAUAAAAAAAAAACACUUUUAUUUUUGUGAUAUAAUUUGGUAAAAAAGAAUUAGUUAAAUUAUUUUAAGUAUCACCUGAGUUUAAUCUUUAAAUAUCGACUCGAUAAGUUCUUAUCUGAACUGCAGCUACUGUACCCGUAACGCAAAACAGGUGUUUUAAUCCUCAUUGUUUUCAACACUUAAUAGUUUUGAAGUUAUGUGAUUGACCAUUGUAAUAGUCCUCGACAACUCUUAACUGCAGCAAGAUGGCAUAUUAUCAGCAUAGCGACAGGGAUGUCGCUGUUACAAUGCAUGUAUUGUUGGUCAUCACCAUUCCACUAUAAGUCGUUUGGAGAAUAAAAACAGGCAAUAAACGUUGUUAAACCUUCCGAGAUAAAGAAGACCCCCACCAUUGCUAGGAAAAAUUAGGCAUAUAAGUUAUCAGAAGGAAACCCAAUUGCAUACAACAAUCCUAAAAAAGAGAGUGGUGGUAUCAGGAGCAUUUAACAAGAAAUGUUCGAAAGAUCGAUCUCAUCGCUACUGGUUAUCGGUGCGAUAAGACCAUUUCGGAUACUUUGCUUACGACAGACACACAGUUUUCCGUAUCCAAUGUAGUGCAGAGCUCGCCAAAGUUAAAAUUAGCAUCGUGGAGAAGAUCCAUUGUUCCUAUAGAAUUCGGUCAUCUUCUUUGCCCGAUCGUAGCCCGGAUUUGAACCAUAUCGAGCAUAUAUUGGACACAUUGGGCGAAAGUGCGCGAAAGGACACCACAGUUCAAACACAUCAUGAAUAAACAAUGCCCAUUCAUCAGAAAUGGUUGCUGCACCUUAGAAAGAAAUUAGUCGAUUUAUGGCAGAAUCAGAAGACAUUAUGAUGCGGUUAUCGUUUGAAUGGAAGCUGCGCACAAAGUUAUAAUUCUUUGGCGUAUAACGAUCAUCAUGUGUGAACAAUCAUCGGAAUAUGAAUUUAAAAUGUCUGACAUUGUAAUGUUCGACUACAGUAUAGUUGUAAAAUGCAUUUUUUUGUACAAAAAACACUUCAUUUGUUAUCGAAAUUGGUUAUAUAAUUUAUUUUUUUUAAAACAUUUUUUUUUCGUUUAAAAUCAAUGUUAUCAUAAACAUGUUUCAAUAUAUUAUAUACAAAUAUUUUACUAUAUUUCAUCCAAAAAAAGAGGUUGAUUUUUCAAGUUUUAAAAAAUCAAGGUGUUGCAAUACUUUUUUCCAUGUGUAUAUAUAUAUUAGGAUUUUGAUGAAUCUUGAACUGUUGCUUUUUGUGUUAUACUAAGAAUGAACUGCUUUCAAUAUCCCUCUUUCUAAGUAGUGACAGAUUUCAGAAAAGAUUUCAUAGACUGAUCGUUAGCAUCAAAAUACAAACAAAAGCUGAUGUGAAUGUAAAAAGGAAGAUGUGGUAUGAUUGCCAAUGAGACAACUAUCCACAAAAGACCAAACUGACACAGACAUUAACAGCUAUAGGUCACCGUACGGUCUUCAACAAUGAGCAAAGCCCAUACCGCACAGUGUGCUAUAAAAGGCCCCAAUAAGACAAUGUAAAACAAUUCAAACGAGAAAACUAAGGGCAUUAUUUAUGUAAAGAAAUGCAAGAAAAACAAAUAUGUAACACAUAAACAAACGACAACCGCUGAAUUACAGGCUCCUGACUUGGGACAGGCACAUACAUAAAUAAUGUGGCGGGGUAAAACAUGUUAGCGGGAUCCCAACCCUCCCCUAACCUGGGACAGUGGUAUAACAGUACAACAUAAGAACAAACUAUAAAAAUCAGUUGAAAAAGGCUUAACUCAUCAGAUAGACAAAAAUACCAGUGGACCUGAACACUAUUUGUGUAUUCAAAACAUAUUAUACGGUUUUGAAAUGAACAACAUGAACCCAAAAUAUAAUUUAACAGGUAAAUGGAGCUAUCAAUAUUGGAACACUGCUCGCUAUUGUCAUUUGAGACUUUAGAUUGUUCUGAUAAGUACUCAAUGCAAACGCUAUUACUGCAAGUGAUGCAAGAGAUGUUAUUAAUUUCUAAAACAUCAGAUGUAAGUUGAGAAAAAAAAAAUGUGACAGAUCUUUGAUAAGGUUUCCCUAUACAAUAUCUGUAAAUUUCCAUCAUCGAUUGAAAAUUCCCCUAACAAAACAGGAAGUUGGCAAAGAAAAACAAUAUAGAUAAACCUGUGACGAAAGUUCCAGAUAAGAGUCACGGUUAUAUAUAGAUAAUAUCUGAUGUAUUUUUGUAUGUUUGGAGAAACUUGAGUGAUACUUAUAAAUAAAAUGCACAGACGAAACUCAUAGUUCAAAAAUUAUAUAACAAAGCGAUUUAAAUGAUAUUAACCCCCAGCCUAUCUAUUUAAUUCAAACAAAUAUUUAAAAAAAAUAAAUACGCUGACUACUAGAUUUAUAAGUUUACCUGCAUACAAGUAAUGUGGUAUACAUAUGCGAUUGCAAAUCAACAUUCACAUUAAACAAACUUCCGUUUGGGUUUGGUUCUGUGUCUUGACAAAAUAUAACAUUUUCGUAUGGGUAUUUACCUCCUCUUACCAGAUAUAUAAUUUAUUGUACUUUAUAACUAACAAUUGGUAUGAUUUGAAAUUAUUUUCCUAAUUUAAGAGAAUGACGACCACUUAAAAUAAAAACAAUAAAAAAAUUAGAUAUAAGAAAAUUAGAUAUACGAAUGAUUACCUAUUUCAUAUAAGUUCAUAUUUAUAAAGUCAGAACACAUUGAUCAUUAUAUUCAUUUAUAUUAUCCAAGUUUAAAGAUGGAGUGCAAAGGUGAAAAAAAUAUAUGUACUUUUCUUUUUCAUUCAUCUAAACCUGUUUGAGAACCAGCAACCAAUUUAAGUCUAUAUACCUGUAUGUUUUCCGUUGAUGAAUUAAUGACGGUAAAUGCUUAUUUAAAAGGCACAUACUUAAGGCUUAUAGCAACCAUCGUUCUGAUGAUUUUCUCAUAGAAAAUAUCUUGUUCGAUACAAUUAACAUAAUUUUAUAGUGUUCAAAUAUUUUUUUUUUUUUAGAAUCUGUGGUUUUUGGACUGCCUUGAUAAAUCACCAUCGACAUUUGGAGAUAUUUUCGGAUAAGCAUUAGAUCGCUUAUUACACUACAUUGCAUAUAAAAAUAAACCAAGUUUAUCAACUCAGCAAUAUAUAUUAAAACCGCGUCAAUUUUCGAGCUUCCUAUCCUUGAUUUAGAUGUGGGACUACCAACAUCAUAAUUUUUAUCAAUAUACACAUCGCAACAUAAUAAAAGGGCUUCCUCAUCAGCUAGAUACUGGAGACAGAUUAAUUUCACCAUAAAGAAAUCCUUCUGCAUUUUUAUAAAGUAGUGUGAAGUGUAUUCAUAUCAAGUUUAGUACAAACUACUGGACAAAGAAGAAUCAUUAUGUUGGAGAUCACCGUAAAUCGAACGGUAAGUGGUCGGUUAAUCAAAUACAAUAUACAUGUAGAAACCACAAAAUUAAAUAUCAUAAUUUUUGAAAUAAAAAGAAAUCUAUUAAGAACAUAUUUAUGAUAUUAUACUAUAUCAUGAUCACCACGUGAACUGUUACUUUAGAAGUAUAAACACUCUAAUUAUAUGAGAUUAGAAGGACUUCUCUAAUUGUCAUCUCCACCAUGCAUACCCAAAUCUAUGAAACCAAAUAUUUAAACUGUAUGUGAUCUGUUAACUCAGAUAUAUCAGUAACAGCAAAUACGAUGUUUGUUAUCGUUACAUGAAGCCUCAUGCUAGUAAUACAUGUAAUAUUCAUUGUGAUAAAUCAUUUAGCUACAGCAUUUGAAAUUGUUCAAACCUAUACACAAAACACCAGCCGUAUAUAUAGUUACCUUUACAUAUAUAAGUGGUAAAUCUUUGAUAGAAUCAUAUGAACCAUAAAAUGACACUUCACGUGUGUUUCUGAAAUAUCCUCACCACAUGAAGUCUUCACAAAUAGUUUCAGACGUCAGGUUUUAGAAACUAUUGAGAGUGUACAUGUCAAACAUAAACAGUCAUUACAUUUAACAGAAAGGUUAACAUAGUAUUUGUGUUUGUUCGUUGCAUAUCCUCUCAUUUAUGACUAUGCAAAAUAACACUAUUGUUCUUCUUUUACAGAUACAGAUUUGGAAAGUUAUGUUGUUGUUUUAUUUAACCAUGCUGAUUAAUGUGAUAAAUGGAACAAGAG